Molecule: ribosomal RNA, 247 nt
Filed under: uncultured bacterium
Lineage: Bacteria
Description: partial 16S ribosomal RNA
Rfam family: Bacterial small subunit ribosomal RNA
Source: RNAcentral
AUACGUAGGGGGCAAGCGUUAUCCGGAUUUACUGGGUGUAGAGGGAGCGUAGGUGGUUCAGCAAGUCAGAUGUGAAAGCCCGGGGCUCAACCCCGGGACUGCAUUUGAAACUGCCGUACUAGAGUGCAGGAGUGGUAAGUGGAAUUCCUAGUGUAGCGGUGAAAUGCGUAGAUAUUAGGAGGAACACCAGUGGCGAAGGCGGCUUACUGGACUGUAACUGACACUGAGGCUCGAAAGCGUGGGGAGC